AUGCAAGUCGACCGGGCGUAACAAUACGUCAGCGGCAGGCGGGUGAGUAACGCGUGGGAACGUACCUUUUGGGUCGGAACAACACAGGGAUACUUGUGCUAAUACCGGAUAAGCCCUUACGGGGAAAGAUUUAUCUCCGAAAGAUCGCCCCGCGUCUGAUUAUCUAGUUGGUGGGGUAAUGGCCCACCAAGGCGACGAUCAGUAACUGGUCUGAGAGGAUGAUCAGCCACAUUGGGACUGAGACACGGCCCAAACUCCUACGGGAGGCAACAGUGGGGAAUAUUGGACAAUGGGGUCAACCCUGAUCCAGCCAUGCCUCGUGAGUGAUGAAGACCCUAGGGUUGUAAAGCUCUUUUGUACGGGAAGAUAAUGACGGUACC
This 380-nucleotide ribosomal RNA is filed under the name oligotrophic bacterium. Its description in RNAcentral is "bacterial SSU rRNA". It matches the Rfam family "Bacterial small subunit ribosomal RNA", at positions 55 to 479 of the family's 1533-position model. The record is from RNAcentral.